RNAcentral lists this ribosomal RNA (538 nucleotides) under Cladosporium sphaerospermum. Its description in RNAcentral is "eukaryotic LSU rRNA". The stretch from base 157 to 310 matches the Rfam family "5.8S ribosomal RNA". Lineage: Eukaryota; Fungi; Ascomycota; Dothideomycetes; Cladosporiales; Cladosporiaceae. The record is from RNAcentral.
GGUUCGGUUGACCGGUCUCGGGCCGGGAGUUCACAACCCUUUGUUGUCCGACUCUGUUGCCUCCGGGGCGACCCUGCCUCCGGGCGGGGGCCCCGGGUGGACAUUUCAAACUCUUGCGUAACUUUGCAGUCUGAGUAAAUUUAAUUAAUAAAUUAAAACUUUCAACAACGGAUCUCUUGGUUCUGGCAUCGAUGAAGAACGCAGCGAAAUGCGAUAAGUAAUGUGAAUUGCAGAAUUCAGUGAAUCAUCGAAUCUUUGAACGCACAUUGCGCCCCCUGGUAUUCCGGGGGGCAUGCCUGUUCGAGCGUCAUUUCACCACUCAAGCCUCGCUUGGUAUUGGGCGACGCGGUCCGCCGCGCGCCUCAAAUCGACCGGCUGGGUCUUUCGUCCCCUCAGCGUUGUGGAAACUAUUCGCUAAAGGGUGCCGCGGGAGGCCACGCCGUAAAACAACCCCAUUUCUAAGGUUGACCUCGGAUCAGGUAGGGAUACCCGCUGAACUUAAGCAUAUCAAUAAGCGGAGGAAACCCUACAUUUUUGA